This is a small nucleolar RNA of Gossypium raimondii (Peruvian cotton), 107 nucleotides long. It matches the Rfam family "Plant small nucleolar RNA R71". Rfam says of the family: R71 is a member of the C/D box family of snoRNAs containing the C (UGAUGA) and D (CUGA) box motifs. The record is from Rfam. NCBI's taxonomy places the organism in Eukaryota, Viridiplantae, Streptophyta, Magnoliopsida, Malvales, Malvaceae.
AACCCAUGGUGAGGGCACCAAUUCAGUAAGUCCUUGCACCUCUCCCAUGUAUCAUAUAAAGUCUCUAAAUCAAUCUGCACAAAGGAAGAUAUAUCAUUCCUCAACUU